RNAcentral lists this long non-coding RNA (3604 nucleotides) under Homo sapiens (human). RNAcentral's name for it is "HSALNT0293798". Lineage: Eukaryota; Metazoa; Chordata; Mammalia; Primates; Hominidae. The record is from RNAcentral.
CUUCUUAAAUUGGCUUUCAAGCCUCCUUCCUACCCUCCCCAUAGGCAUUAAUUAGCUGUUCCUGGUUUGUUUUCCACUACUAGCCUACACAAGGCCAGACAGCUCUUCAGGCAGACAGCUCUCUCUUUGUCCGCUGAAAACAUCAUGUGAAUUGUCUUUAUUUUACUGAAGAUGCCAGGCACCAUGUUAGGCAUUACAAAUAUUAUCUUAUUUAAUCCCUUCCAUUUAAGAGAUGGGUAUAAUUAUACCCAUUUUAAGGCUGUAGAAGGCUAAAGAAGUUAAGGUACUUGUCCAACUAAGGUCUCACAGCAGCACUAGGAUUCUUACAUCUGGCUCAAAAGCUGGUAUACUUUCCACUCCAGCAUACUCUCCCCCCUGCUAUGCAUGUGCUGUGUGUUCUGAUUCCUCCUUCCUCUUGUCAUCUGGAUGAUUUCUCAAUUUCACUCCAUAUAUCUGACUCCUGUCCAGUCUGCAAAUCCGGAGAGAAACUCCCACCUCUGUCUUGAAACCUUUCAACCAUCAUCCUAGUCCUUGGCAGACUGCUGAAUUUGUCAUCUGCAGCACUCAUUUGGUGCUCCCAUUUUCUGCCUUGUAUUGUCAGCUUUAUUUUUAUUCAGUCCCUUCCAACCAAACUGAAAGCUCCUUGAAGAUGGGAAUUUGCCUUAUAUUUAUUUAUAUUCCUCCCUGACUCCCCAGAGCCUAAUAUUACAACUCCCGUUUGUCAUACACUCACCUCAUGCACACUAAUCCUUAGAAGUGAGCACUGUUAUUACUGCCAUUUCGCAGAUAAAGAAACUGAGACUCAGAGAGAUGAAGAAAUUUGCCCAAGCCACUAAGCUGGUGAGCAGAUCUGAUGUUCAAACACAUACUGCCUGAAUCAAAUGCCCCUUUUCCUUUGUGACUGUAUUGUCCUGGCUCACAUACAUGGUCCCUCACACAAUGUGAACUUAUGAAGCAUUCCUGUAUGGAGGAUACUCAACAAGCCUCCAGAAAACAUCCCUCUAACAUGACUUCAGAGAAGGGGCAUUGUUUUUACUCUUCAUGAGGUGAAAUCCGGCAACUCAACAGAAGAAAGGAUGAGUAUAUACCCACCUGAGGACACCCACAUCCACUUCCCCCUCCUCUCUAGGAGCCAUGCCUCAUGUUGGUGGGAGCCAAUGAUGCUGUCUAUAUCUGUACAGGGGUUUCUGUGAGGUAGAGAGGCAAACUGCCCUUCCCCCUUAAUCCUCUGUACCUUUUAAAUACACAGAGGAAAGAAGGAGAAAAUUAAACUGUUAAUUUCUUUUAAUGGUCUGCAGGGUCCAGAGAGGUGGGGUCCUGCUGUGUCUGCAAAAGAAAUGAAUUGCUGCUGUGGGAAGAAUAACAACUGUUUUUAGAAAAUGUUCAUAGCUGACCGAUUAAGCCAAUCUGUAGAACUCAAGUCAGCUUCUUCUUCUCCUUUAAGUCUCAGCUGGAGUUGAAUUUGAAUUAUUUCCUCAAAUUUUAAAUUGCUGGUUUUUGGAAAGCAAUGCUUGUUUUGACCCCAAAUUAUAUUAUCCUGACUUGACCACCCACCUUAUUCUUCAGAGCACUGAAGGAUGCUAAAGGAAGAUGGCUUGCCACCUCCAAGGCUCUUAAACCAGAUGUGCUGUGGGUUCUGAAAGCAGUGCCCAACAAAGAGCUCCAGAAACGUUUUGAGCAAUGGCAGCAAUGGAAGCACCUACACAAUAAGUGACAGCCUUCCAAGAUGACUUGAUAGAUGAGAACACACUAAAAUGUUUGUGUAAGUUCUGGUGUAGUUGUUAACAUGCAGACAUUAGUUAGACCUUGGUUAUACCGUUUCAGCCCUCCAGCUGAGAGUUAGGGACAAAAUUAUUCCUAACAUAUUGUACUUCAAAAAAUGGUACAUCCUUUAGGUGCAUCUUGCAGAUUUCACACAAAAUGUUUUAAUAUUUAGGAUCUAGAUAUUGUUUUGAAUGAUUUCAAGCAUUAUCCAAGAAAGAUGAAAACUAUAACUGAGAUAAACAUAUUGAGUAUGUUUUUAUAUUUUUAUUAAACCAAUUAAUUUUAACCAGGUGUAUGUAUGACUACUUGGGAUGCAUUUUGUUUACUUAAUUGUAGACAAUUCUGACUUAAGAUUGGGGGGAAAAAAGGUACUGUAUGUGGUCUUGAUUUUAACUAGAAAUAUAGUGCUUUCAACUCAAAUGAAACCAGCCCGUCCAGUAUACCAAAUAAGGAGCAAGACCUUUUAAGGAUUAUUUUGCUUUCUAAAGUAAUUAAAAGAAUAUCCCCUUCAAUCAUGUAUGCCCUUUAAACUUUGCUUAAUGAGUUUUAAAGGAGAAAAAAAAAAAAACAUGGUACUGUGUGGUACUGUGAAUACGGCACAAUCUGGAGAAAACUUUCUGAUUCCUAAUUUAUUUUUUUCCCUUGACUUUCUACUUAAAGGUAAUCAACACAAUUUUCCAUUUGUAUCAAAGAAAGGCCACAGUUUUUAACUCUUUCAUAAUAAUGUUCCUUGAGUUUCUUGGAGCAAGGAGAAAAUAUACAUAUUUUAGUUACAUUUCAACAAUUACUUAUUAAAGGUCCAUAGGGAUCAUGUUCAAUGGCAAAGGGAAGUGGAGGACCUAUAAUAGAUAAUGAAUAAAUACUUAUUGAAUGGAUGGAUGGAGGAAAAGAAAACUGUAUCUUGGGCCCCAUAUGGAGUUCACUAUAAAAUUAAUUCCCACAGAUUAGCCUCCCAAAGUAUUUGGUCCAUGUAAAUACAACUUCUGGCUAUCAUAUAAUAUUAAGCCUAAAGCAUCUGCUUAAAUUUGGACUUGAUUUUUCCUAUUAUUCCAGUUUUAGAAAAUGUUUGGUCACAUAAAUAGAGCUCUCUCACUAACUUACUUGGACUAUUUGGUUACAUAACAUCUCUGUUCCUCAGUUUAUGUCAGAAUGGAAAUAAGACAAAAACCUCCUCCUUCCUAUAGGGACUUUUUUGAGUACCUUGAUAAAUACCUACAAAAUGAUAAAUGCUACUACCUCUUUCAACAUUUGCACGAUGUUAACUAAACACAAAAUAUUUUUAGUGUGUGAAUUAAAAUGCCUCUUUUACUGAUGGCUUCAGAUGUUUCCUUGUAAGAUACCAUGUCAAGAACUGGUUUAUAAAUUAUCUGUCCUUCCAGAACGCACUGACAUCACGCUUCCUAAUAGCUUGGUAUGAUGACUGCUGUCAAAAUCGCCUGCAUGGAACCAUCCCUGACCUGGACUAACAGCAUGUAUUAGCGUGACAGAGACUAAAAAGCUAAGAACCGCCGUGCGAUGGCCGGCUUUGGGCACCGGGGGUGGGGGCUACGCUACGCGUGAAGGGCCUCAGUCCUCGGGCUUUAGUUCAGGAAGAAAAUGAAAGCUGGAGGUCUCGUGGGCGGGACUGGAGGCGGCCAGAUAGGCAAGAACCCGCAACAGGAGUAGGGACAUUUUUUCUUCAAAUUCCAAUCCCAUCCAGCGAUAGACAGGCGCGUGGGUCUCCCUCCUCCACGACCACCACACAAUGGCACACACUUUUGCUGGAAACUGAAAUCGAAGUCUCUGAGGCAGGCUGGGGCCCAGGCCGGCAGCGGGGAGGGGCAGGGUCCAGCCACCUCGG